ACGCUCGACACCUACUGGAGGCAGCAGUGGGGAAUAUUGGGCAAUGGAGGAAACUCUGACCCAGCAACGCCGCGUGAAUGAUGAAGGUCUUUGGAUUGUAAAGUUCUUUUCUAAGGGACGAAGAAAGUGACGGUACCUUAGGAAUAAGCCUCGGCUAACCACGUGCCAGAGCCGCGGUAAUCUGAGCGGGCUGGCAAGGC
RNAcentral lists this ribosomal RNA (200 nucleotides) under uncultured bacterium. RNAcentral's name for it is "partial 16S ribosomal RNA". It matches the Rfam family "Bacterial small subunit ribosomal RNA", at positions 328 to 539 of the family's 1533-position model. The record is from RNAcentral.